RNAcentral lists this transfer RNA (72 nucleotides) under Phrynosoma platyrhinos (Desert horned lizard). Its description in RNAcentral is "tRNA-OTHER". Lineage: Eukaryota; Metazoa; Chordata; Lepidosauria; Squamata; Phrynosomatidae. The record is from RNAcentral.
GUCAGUGUGGUGUAGUAGUUUGAGUGUUGGAUUACAACUCCGGAAACCAGGGUUCAAUUCCCAGCUCAACCA